UGGUAAAAAGAGGAAUCGAACCCCUAUAAGUAGGACUACAGCCCACCACUUAAACACUCAGCCAUUUUACC
RNAcentral lists this transfer RNA (71 nucleotides) under Sceloporus ochoterenae. RNAcentral describes it as "tRNA-Tyr". The record is from RNAcentral. Lineage: Eukaryota; Metazoa; Chordata; Lepidosauria; Squamata; Phrynosomatidae.